This 353-nucleotide ribosomal RNA is filed under the name uncultured bacterium. Its description in RNAcentral is "partial 16S ribosomal RNA". It matches the Rfam family "Bacterial small subunit ribosomal RNA", at positions 338 to 683 of the family's 1533-position model. The record is from RNAcentral.
CCUACGGGUGGCAGCAGUGGGGCAUAUUGCGCAAUGGGCGAAAGCCUGACGCAGCGACGCCGCGUGAGGGAUGAAGGUCUUCGGAUCGUAAACCUCUGUCAGCAGGGAAGAACGGUCACUGUGCUAAUCAGCAGUGAAUUGACGGUACCUGCAAAGGAAGCACCGGCUAACUCCGUGCCAGCAGCCGCGGUAAUCCGGGGGGUGCGAGAGUUAAUCGGAAUUACUGGGCGUAAAUCGCUCGUAGGCGGUAUGUAAAGUCAAGGGUGAAAUCCCCGCGCUCAACGUGGGAACUGCCUUUGAAACUGGCGAACUGGAGUGGGUGAGAGGAUAGUGGAAUGCCAGGUGUAGGAGUG